UCCUACGGGAGGCAGCAGUAGGGAAUUUUCCGCAAUGGGCGAAAGCCUGACGGAGCAAUACCGCGUGAGGGAAGACGGCCUAUGGGUUGUAAACCUCUUUUUUCAGGGAGGAAUUUUGACGUGUACCUGAAGAAUAAGCAUCGGCUAACUCCGUGCCAGCAGCCGCGGUAAGACGGAGGAUGCAAGUGUUAUCCGGAAUCACUGGGCGUAAAGCGUCUGUAGGUGGUUAAGCAAGUCAACUGUUAAAUCUUGAGGCUCAACUUCAAAAUCGCAGUCGAAACUGUUUGACUAGAGUAUAGUAGGGGUAAAGGGAAUUUCCAGUGGAGCGGUGAAAUGCGUAGAUAUUGGAAAGAACACCGAUGGCGAAGGCACUUUACUGGGCUAUUACUAACACUCAGAGACGAAAGCUAGGGUAGCAAAUGGGAUUAGAUACCCCAGUAGUCCUAGCCGUAAACAAUGGAUACUAGAUGUUGAACAGAUCGACCUGUGCAGUAUCAAAGCUAACGCGUUAAGUAUCCCGCCUGGGAAGUAUGCUCGCAAGAGUGAAACUCAAAUGAAUUGACGGA
RNAcentral lists this ribosomal RNA (566 nucleotides) under uncultured bacterium. RNAcentral describes it as "bacterial SSU rRNA". It matches the Rfam family "Bacterial small subunit ribosomal RNA", at positions 337 to 917 of the family's 1533-position model. The record is from RNAcentral.